GUGGGGGAGAAAAAGGCUCCCACAAGGCCAGUGAAUCGUACGCCCCCCUGGAGAGGGUAAUUCGCCCACAUUGGGAAUUGAGACCCCGGCCCCAGAUUUCCUUCGGGGAGGCCACCAGUAGGGAAUUUUUCCACAAUGGACGCAAGUCUGAUGGAGCAACCCCCCGUGAAUGAAGAAGGGUUUCGGCUCGUAAAGCUCUGUUGUUAAAGAAGAACGUGGGUAAGAGUAACUGUUUACCCAGUGACGGUAUUUAACCAGAAAGCCACGGCUAACUACGUGCCAGCAGCCGCGGUAAUACGUAGGUGGCAAGCGUUAUCCGGAUUUAUUGGGCGUAAAGCGAGCGCAGGCGGUCUUUUAAGUCUAAUGUGAAAGCCUUCGGCUCAACCGAAGAAGUGCAUUGGAAACUGGGAGACUUGAGUGCAGAAGAGGACAGUGGAACUCCAUGUGUAGCGGUGAAAUGCGUAGAUAUAUGGAAGAACACCAGUGGCGAAGGCGGCUGUCUGGUCUGCAACUGACGCUGAGGCUCGAAAGCAUGGGUAGCGAACAGGAUUAGAUACCCUGGUAGUCCAUGCCGUAAACGAUGAUUACUAAGUGUUGGAGGGUUUCCGCCCUUCAGUGCUGCAGCUAACGCAUUAAGUAAUCCGCCUGGGGAGUACGACCGCAAGGUUGAAACUCAAAAGAAUUGACGGGGGCCCGCACAAGCGGUGGAGCAUGUGGUUUAAUUCGAAGCUACGCGAAGAACCUUACCAGGUCUUGACAUCUUCUGACAGUCUAAGAGAUUAGAGGUUCCCUUCGGGGACAGAAUGACAGGUGGUGCAUGGUUGUCGUCAGCUCGUGUCGUGAGAUGUUGGGUUAAGUCCCGCAACGAGCGCAACCCUUAUUACUAGUUGCCAGCAUUAAGUUGGGCACUCUAGUGAGACUGCCGGUGACAAACCGGAGGAAGGUGGGGACGACGUCAAAUCAUCAUGCCCCUUAUGACCUGGGCUACACACGUGCUACAAUGGAUGGUACAACGAGUCGCGAGACCGCGAGGUUAAGCUAAUCUCUUAAAACCAUUCUCAGUUCGGACUGUAGGCUGCAACUCGCCUACACGAAGUCGGAAUCGCUAGUAAUCGCGGAUCAGCAUGCCGCGGUGAAUACGUUCCCGGGCCUUGUACACACCGCCCGUCACACCAUGAGAGUUUGUAACACCCAAAGCCGGUGGGGUAACCUUUUAGGAGCUAGCCGUCUAAGGUGGACAGAGUUUGCCU
Molecule: ribosomal RNA, 1250 nt
Filed under: Pediococcus pentosaceus
Lineage: Bacteria; Bacillati; Bacillota; Bacilli; Lactobacillales; Lactobacillaceae
Description: bacterial SSU rRNA
Rfam family: Bacterial small subunit ribosomal RNA
Source: RNAcentral